ACGUAGGGGGCAAGCGUUAUCCGGAAUUAUUGGGCGUAAAGAGUGCGUAGGUGGCUUUUCAAGCGAGAGGUGAAAGCCCCUAGCUUAACUCUUGUACGCCUUGUGAACCGGCAGACUUGAGUGCAGGAGAGGAAAGUGGAAUUCCUAGUGUAGCGGUGAAAUGCGUAGAUAUUAGGAGGAACACCAGUGGCGAAGGCGACUUUCUGGACUGUUACUGACACUGAGGCACGAAAGCGUGGGGAGCAAACAG
This 250-nucleotide ribosomal RNA is filed under the name uncultured prokaryote. RNAcentral's name for it is "partial 16S rRNA". It matches the Rfam family "Bacterial small subunit ribosomal RNA", at positions 525 to 775 of the family's 1533-position model. The record is from RNAcentral.